AAGACCAGUCUCUGACUGAUUAUCCUUACACUGUUCAACCUUCUGGGAAUCUCAGGCGGAGAAUAUGUUGUACAAAGAUCAGUCUCUGACUGAUUAUCCUUACACUGUUCAACCUUCUGGGAAUCUCAGGCGGAGAAUAUGUUGUAAAAAGACCAGUCUCUGACUGAUUAGCCUUACACUGUUCAACCUUCUGGGAAUCUCAGGCGGAGAAUAUGUUGUAAAAAGACCAGUCUCUGACUGAUUAGCCUUACACUGAUCGACCUUCUGGGAAUCUCAGGCGGAGAAUAUGUUGUAAAAAGACCAGUCUCUGACUGAUUAGCCUUACACUGAUCGACCUUCUGGGAAUCUCAGGUGGAGAAUAUGUUG
Molecule: long non-coding RNA, 366 nt
Organism: Eurytemora carolleeae
Lineage: Eukaryota; Metazoa; Arthropoda; Copepoda; Calanoida; Temoridae
Exons: 2
Source: RefSeq, a predicted model, not a curated record